GCGGGCGUAGCUCAGUUGGUAGAGCGCAACCUUGCCAAGGUUGAGGUCGCGAGUUCGAGACUCGUUGCCCGCUCCA
RNAcentral lists this transfer RNA (76 nucleotides) under Bacillota bacterium. RNAcentral's name for it is "Firmicutes bacterium (anaerobic digester metagenome) tRNA-Gly". It matches the Rfam family "tRNA". From Rfam's summary of the family: Transfer RNA (tRNA) molecules are approximately 80 nucleotides in length. Their secondary structure includes four short double-helical elements and three loops (D, anti-codon, and T loops). The record is from RNAcentral. Lineage: Bacteria; Bacillati; Bacillota. RNAcentral also lists the same sequence under 1 other name.